UUACUUGAAGUCGGCAAACCAUUAUCCCGUUCAUUAAGCUGUCAAGAAUCACCUGAAGAGGAGUGCUUCAAUUGUACCAAAACGUUUGCUCACCGAAUAUCCUUCCCUCCUUAAUUUGUGAAGCCACUGCACGUAGGCUGGCUUUUUUAGGAAAAAGGUGGAAGCUAAAAUCUCUUUUACUAGGCCUACUUAAACGACUUGACAGUGCAAAAGCAGCAACACAGAUUGCAUUGACGCUUCAAGGGAUACCAGGACAAUGACAGUUCGAUUGUUGCAAGCCUGUAGAUGCCUACGGAUGAUCGUAGCAGACUGGAGGCAGAUGGGGACAGUAGCUCAUCCCAGAGUGAAGUUCAACAGGCUGGUGAGCACUGCUGUCCGCAGUACUGUGCAGUGUUGCAGGACCCAUCCAGGAGCCCUAACAGCCUCGGCAGCUUUGUUGGGGUGUACAUCUUGGAUAUUAUCUCAGGACAGCAUCAGUGGGUGAG
Alosa sapidissima (American shad) is the source of this 485-nucleotide long non-coding RNA. RefSeq lists it as uncharacterized. The transcript has 3 exons. NCBI's taxonomy places the organism in Eukaryota, Metazoa, Chordata, Actinopteri, Clupeiformes, Clupeidae. The record is from RefSeq and is a predicted model, not a curated record.